UCAAGGUUAGACCAAGAUUUUGCUUGUCGUUAGCGCCACCUAGGCCUUGCUUACGAGUCAACUUACUCAUAAAUGAACGGAAGAUUCCCGAGGGGGCGCCACGGCGACGUUUACAGCGUGGAUGCUGAUUUGCAUUUUUCGCGAGGCGUCAUUUUCGUUAUCAGAGAAAAGCGUUGUUUCUUGCAGAAGUUUUUUGCUUUCCGCGACCAAUAAUUUAUUAAAACAUGAGUUUUAGACCUUGUUGUGUGCCUAACAGUGCGAUGAUAUUUGUUCUAAACGGUGUUCAUUUCCUAGAAGACUCGUAUGUCUUGUUUUCAAGAUUACUACAUACAUUAUUCGUUCUACAUACUACCUAUAUUUCGAAGGUUUCCACGGUGUUGCUUCCAUAGAGAAUAGCUUCCUGGCAAAAGACGCUUGGUGCGACCCAUAGUCAAACUGUGCGAUAUUCAUGGACCAUCGCUCGAAUAUGUUCAUGGCACAUCAAAUAUCGCCACAGUUCCGGGCUCCAAAGGCACUCUUUCCAGGGAUAGCAGCUCAAAUCACUCAAAAAUUAAAGAUGAUAUUCUGGACAGCCCUUUUACAGCUGUCAC
Long non-coding RNA from Dendroctonus ponderosae (mountain pine beetle), 590 nucleotides. RefSeq lists it as uncharacterized. The record is from RefSeq and is a predicted model, not a curated record. NCBI's taxonomy places the organism in Eukaryota, Metazoa, Arthropoda, Insecta, Coleoptera, Curculionidae. The transcript has 4 exons.